UUAACCUGGAAUCAAAUAGGGAUACCCGCUGAACUUAAGCAUAUCAAUAAGCGGAGGA
RNAcentral lists this ribosomal RNA (58 nucleotides) under Dothideomycetes sp. 4 GS-2016. RNAcentral's name for it is "partial 28S ribosomal RNA". It matches the Rfam family "Eukaryotic large subunit ribosomal RNA", at positions 1 to 57 of the family's 3401-position model. The record is from RNAcentral. Lineage: Eukaryota; Fungi; Ascomycota; Dothideomycetes.